Molecule: ribosomal RNA, 110 nt
Filed under: uncultured bacterium
Lineage: Bacteria
Description: partial 16S ribosomal RNA
Rfam family: Bacterial small subunit ribosomal RNA
Source: RNAcentral
AAUACGUUCCCGGACCUUGCACACACCGCCCGUCAAGCCAUGGGAGCCGGGUGUACCUAAAGUCGGUAACCGCAAGGAGCUGCCUAGGGUAAAAAUCGGUGACUGGGGCU